AUUGAACGCUGGCGGCGUGCCUAACACAUGCAAGUCGAGCGGUAACAGGUGUAGCAAUACAUGCUGACGAGCGGCGGACGGGUGGGUAACGCUUGGGAAUCUGCCUGAUAGUGGGGGACAACCCGGGGAAACUCGGGCUAAUACCGCAUACGCACUACGGUGGGAAGCCGGGGACCGCAAGGCCUGGCGCCACCAGAUGAGCCCAAGUCGGAUUAGCUAGUUGGUAGGGUAACGGCCUACCAAGGCGACGAUCCGUAACUGGUCUGAGAGGACGACCAGUCACACCGGAACUGAGACACGGUCCGGACUCCUACGGGAGGCAGCAGUGGGGAAUAUUAGACAAUGGGCGAAAGCCUGAUCCAGCGACGCCGCGUGGGUGAAGAAGGCCUGCGGGUUGUAAAGCCCUUUCGGUGGGGAAGAAAAGCCUCGAGCUAAUACCUCGGGGUCUAGACGUAACCCAUAGAAGAAGCACCGGCUAACUCUGUGCCAGCCGCCGCAGUAA
Molecule: ribosomal RNA, 502 nt
Filed under: uncultured bacterium
Lineage: Bacteria
Description: partial 16S ribosomal RNA
Rfam family: Bacterial small subunit ribosomal RNA
Source: RNAcentral